This 584-nucleotide ribosomal RNA is filed under the name Cibicidoides lobatulus. RNAcentral describes it as "bacterial SSU rRNA". It matches the Rfam family "Eukaryotic small subunit ribosomal RNA", at positions 1220 to 1547 of the family's 1831-position model. Lineage: Eukaryota; Foraminifera; Rotaliida; Anomalinidae. The record is from RNAcentral.
GGGUCCGGACACACUGAGGAUUGACAGGCAAUAUUAAUACGUUUUGCUUCGGUAAACGCGUAUUAUGUUAAAUAUGCUAGUCCUUUCAUGAUUAUGUGAUAGGUGGUGCAUGGCCGUUCUUAGUUCGUGGAGUGAUCUGUCUGCUUAAUUGCGUUUCACUAAGGGCCUAUAAAUUUACGUGUGUUGCAUCGCACUUUGACCCCUUUCUUUAAUUAGAGAGCGCGUGUCUUAGUUUUCGCUUUGCUCAUACAAUUAGGUCCUGAAAGCAACGAACGUGACCGCAACCUCUUGUUGCCUUUAUACCAAACAUGUUUUGCGUCAAUUUUUACGAAUUGCGCGCAUUUCAUGAAAAAAGGCUUUUUAAACUAGAGGGACCGCUGUUACUUUCUUAAACCAGAGGAAGGUUGCGGCAAUAACAGGUCUGUGAUGCCCUUAGAUGUUCCGGGCUGCACACGUGCUACAAUGAUUAUUGCAGUGAGCAUCUCAUUUUUACACACCGCAUGCGCGAGUCCAUUUAUUCACCUUCGGGUGUUUUAAAUGUGUAUCUCUGCGCGCGGUAAAGCCUGCUUCGACAGCAAGUGGGU